UCCCGGAUGUUAGCGGCGGACGGGUGAGUAACACGUGGGUAACCUGCCUGUAAGACUGGGAUAACUCCGGGAAACCGGAGCUAAUACCGGAUAGUUCCUUGAACCGCAUGGUUCAAGGAUGAAAGACGGUUUCGGCUGUCACUUACAGAUGGACCCGCGGCGCAUUAGCUAGUUGGUGAGGUAACGGCUCACCAAGGCGACGAUGCGUAGCCGACCUGAGAGGGUGAUCGGCCACACUGGGACUGAGACACGGCCCAGACUCCUACGGGAGGCAGCAGUAGGGAAUCUUCCGCAAUGGACGAAAGUCUGACGGAGCAACGCCGCGUGAGUGAUGAAGGUUUUCGGAUCGUAAAGCUCUGUUGUUAGGGAAGAACAAGUGCAAGAGUAACUGCUUGCACCUUGACGGUACCUAACCAGAAAGCCACGGCUAACUACGUGCCAGCAGCCGCGGUAAUACGUAGGUGGCAAGCGUUGUCCGGAAUUAUUGGGCGUAAAGGGCUCGCAGGCGGUUUCUUAAGUCUGAUGUGAAAGCCCCCGGCUCAACCGGGGAGGGUCAUUGGAAACUGGGAAACUUGAGUGCAGAAGAGGAGAGUGGAAUUCCACGUGUAGCGGUGAAAUGCGUAGAGAUGUGGAGGAACACCAGUGGCGAAGGCGACUCUCUGGUCUGUAACUGACGCUGAGGAGCGAAAGCGUGGGGAGCGAACAGGAUUAGAUACCCUGGUAGUCCACGCCGUAAACGAUGAGUGCUAAGUGUUAAGGGGGUUUCCGCCCCUUAGUGCUGCAGCUAACGCAUUAAGCACUCCGCCUGGGGGAGUACGGUCGCAAGACUGAAACUCAAAGGAAUUGACGGGGGCCCGCACAAGCGGUGGAGCAUGUGGUUUAAUUCGAAGCAACGCGAAGAACCUUACCAGGUCUUGACAUCCUCUGACAACCCUAGAGAUAGGGCUUUCCCUUCGGGGACAGAGUGACAGGUGGUGCAUGGUUGUCGUCAGCUCGUGUCGUGAGAUGUUGGGUUAAGUCCCGCAACGAGCGCAACCCUUGAUCUUAGUUGCCAGCAUUCAGUUGGGCACUCUAAGGUGACUGCCGGUGACAAACCGGAGGAAGGUGGGGAUGACGUCAAAUCAUCAUGCCCCUUAUGACCUGGGCUACACACGUGCUACAAUGGACAGAACAAAGGGCUGCGAGACCGCAAGGUUUAGCCAAUCCCACAAAUCUGUUCUCAGUUCGGAUCGCAGUCUGCAACUCGACUGCGUGAAGCUGGAAUCGCU
RNAcentral lists this ribosomal RNA (1268 nucleotides) under Bacillus stratosphericus. RNAcentral's name for it is "bacterial SSU rRNA". It matches the Rfam family "Bacterial small subunit ribosomal RNA", at positions 83 to 1336 of the family's 1533-position model. The record is from RNAcentral. Lineage: Bacteria; Bacillati; Bacillota; Bacilli; Caryophanales; Bacillaceae.